Molecule: transfer RNA, 141 nt
Filed under: Pyrenophora teres f. teres 0-1
Lineage: Eukaryota; Fungi; Ascomycota; Dothideomycetes; Pleosporales; Pleosporaceae
Description: tRNA-Arg (ACG) (tRNA-Arg-ACG-3-1)
Rfam family: tRNA
About the family: Transfer RNA (tRNA) molecules are approximately 80 nucleotides in length. Their secondary structure includes four short double-helical elements and three loops (D, anti-codon, and T loops). Further hydrogen bonds mediate the characteristic L-shaped molecular structure. tRNAs have two regions of fundamental functional importance: the anti-codon, which is responsible for specific mRNA codon recognition, and the 3' end, to which the tRNAs corresponding amino acid is attached (by aminoacyl-tRNA synthetases). tRNAs cope with the degeneracy of the genetic code in two manners: having more than one tRNA (with a specific anti-codon) for a particular amino acid; and 'wobble' base-pairing, i.e. permitting non-standard base-pairing at the 3rd anti-codon position.
Source: RNAcentral
GGCCUAAUGGCCCAAUGGCAAGGCGCUUGACUACGAAUCAAGAGAUUCCAGGUUGUAAGUUUACACCACACCACACCACCUGAUCAAUCGGUCCUUCGAGUCAGUUGACUAACAUUGUUACAGCGACCCCUGGUUAGGUCA